UCCGGUCGCUUGUGCGAGAUGGAACCACCUUUUCCCAUUCCGAACAGAGAAGUGAAACGUUUCAGCGCCGACAAUAGUAUCCCGGCAACGGGACUUGAAAAUAGGUCGCGGCCGGAA
RNAcentral lists this ribosomal RNA (117 nucleotides) under Candidatus Shapirobacteria bacterium. Lineage: Bacteria; Candidatus Shapironibacteriota. The record is from RNAcentral.